RNAcentral lists this long non-coding RNA (3690 nucleotides) under Homo sapiens (human). Its description in RNAcentral is "HSALNT0046266". The record is from RNAcentral. Lineage: Eukaryota; Metazoa; Chordata; Mammalia; Primates; Hominidae.
CUCUGUUCUGUUCGGCCUUCCCUCUCUACAGUCCUUUCUUUGACUUCGCUCCCUAGAAGCAUGAACUGCGAUGAGCACUCCCUUCCUGCCUUUGCUUGUACUGUCUUCUACCCCUGAAACUGCACUCCUGACCCUUUGGCUUUAGGAUACCUGUACAACUCGUUUUUCCAGACAUUCACGAGUCACCUCCAAAUGCUUUCUCGAUCUGACGAUUAUGUGUCUUGGGGUUGAUCUUGUCAUGGAGUAUCUUACUGGAGUUGUCUGGAUUUCCUGAAUUUAAAUGUUGCCCUAUCUUGUUAGGUUGGGGAACUUCUCCUGGAUGAUGUCCUGAAGUAUGUUUUCUCCAAAGGCAUGAGCUCCUCAAAGUUCAGGAAGCAAGUCCAAGACUUCACCCUUGAUCUUUUUCCACAGCCCUAUGGGGUGAAUAGAAGCAGACAUUAGAUACAGCUCACACAUGGAGAAACUGAAGUACACUCCAUCAUUUCUGAGCAGGAGGAAUAGCUCAGAGCCCCCCAGAACUCCUCUUCAGACCUCCUAUUUAAUGGUACCUUGGGGAAGGGGCUGGUUCUCUGUGGCUUCGGCAAAUCUUACUACAAAGCCUUGUGCCCCUCGGAAGGUAACCAUGGAUACUAUUGAGCUGGCACAAAAGCCUUCAGUUAGUGGAGACUACAAGUGGUUUUCAGGGGCUGAAGGAAUUUUCAGGAAAGGGGCAAAACGUGGAAACACUUGCAGAGGGAAGACCUUUGCCUCAGGCCCCUUGGCUGGGUGUGUUUCAGUUAAGAUGGGCACUUAUGCUCAGAGGAGCACUGGAGCAGUGACAGGGCUCUAAUCUGGGACUGGGAUAGUAAGUAGCUGUGAGGUGAGAAUCAAAGGGAAUCCCAGGCGCUUUUUUUUUCUUGGAAAGCUGGGACCCUGCUGUGAAAUCUGGAGCGGGGUUGUUGGGGGGUUGAGGUGCUGACCAAAGCGAUGCCAGCAGCAACCCAGUCUCCUGAGUGACCCAGGCCAGGGUCUGGAAACAACGGGGUGUCCUGGCAACAGUCAGGGGGAGCUUCCAGCAGGGCGAAGUCCCUAUCCUCAUCUCUGCCCUCGGGGGUGUUUUUCUCCUUUCGGCCCAGGGCUACAGGCAGGAGAAAUUCACACCUGGAAUAUCUCGAGGAGGCGCCUUAUUUCCUCUGAGCCCUUGCUGAGUGUCGAGAGGCAGCUCAUGUCCCUCCUCCGACCCCAAGAGUCCACAGUCUUCCCUCACACCCCUUUAUUCUCGGACGAGGCCCGUGUGGUGAGCGGGAACCCCUGCUGUCCCCUGGACCAGCGCGGAGCUGGGCCCUAACUUUGCAGUUCCCGCCGCAUCGGCACGCACCCGCGAGGUGGGAGCGGGAAGCCCAGCCGCAUUAGAGGCUCAAUUCCGGCAGGUGCAGAGUGGGUGCGGGUCAAGGCCAAUGAGAGUGUGUGUGGCCAAGCCCGCUGGUUUCCUGAACCGAAAUUCUCCGGGGAGGGAGAGAAGAGGAGGGUGCGGGAGACGGACUUGGAGGCGAGAGGUGGCGGCAGUUUCCAGGAGCUUUGACGUAGACUUGGAGAGGCGCCGAGCACUCCCACUGCUUAAGUAGAGGCACGGUAGCCUCCAGGACGCGGAAGCUGGGGACAGCCACUCGCUCGGGAGCAGCCUGAGCGUUUCCUCUCCGCGUACUCGAGGGAACUCUCUCCACGCGUUCGAGGGAACCCGGAAGGGGCCAGGCGGGUACAUAUUCUCAGCUCCUAAGGACCUCCUUCCUAAAGAAGAAAGAGUUGAUUGAAGAUUUGAUAAGCAUGCAUGUGCGUAGGAGUGGGUCUAGUGUCAUUGGAAAAGUGAACCUGGAAAUAAAGAGAAAAUAAAUUGAACUCGGAGCUAAUUCAUGCCUUGGAAUUAAAUAUACAUAUAUAUAACAUUUUUCUUAACUAUUGAUUAUUUAUUUAUUUUAAAUGGUGGGAAUGCCCAGAGAUAAAUAUGAACCCAAAUUCUCUCAGUAUACUAAUUUAAAGCUGCCUUCUAUUAUUUAUUUAUUUAUUUUAGGCUGCUAGCAUGUUUCUUCUAAUGGUGACAUUACUGCCAGUCUAUCCCACAGUCUAAAGGAGUUAAAUAACUUCCAGAGAUGACUUGAGGAUUCUUUGUAUUCAUUUAAUAGUUCAUUUUGGGAUGCUUGACAUGUUAAUAAACUAGUGUGCCAUACAUUUAACUUGAAUACACUGCAUGGCUUCCAAGACUUCAACCACUGGAUUGCUUAUGCACAGGCACAUAAGGGACUACAUUUUGGAAUUACUAGUUACUGACAAUCUAUGAUAUCUGAAUCUUGUUUGACAGCAUAUUUUUGAAUACUGAAUGAAGCAAAAAGUAAAACAAAACAAAAAACUGGCAAAUAAAGCAUUCUUCUAAUGAAAACAAAAUUAAUAAAAGCUCUGGACCCCAGGUAAUGUUAUUGGAGUCUCUUUAUUUCAAUAUUUAAUGUUAUCACUAAUGACAUCCAAACUCUAAUAAAAUAAUGUUUAAGUGUAAAUAGGUACAAAUUAUUUCCCAAUAAGCAUAUUUGUUAUUUGAUUAAAUAUUAUAACUCUAUAAGUGGUUACACUUUGCAUUGAAAAACAAAAUAAAGCGAACAGCAUUAUAAGAGAAGAACCCAUAAAUAAUUAUUUUCCUGAAAAAUGACCAGGCCCGAACAAGGUUUAUAGCAGAGAAGUCCAAUUAGCAAAUGUAUUUGAGUUAGAGACACAAUGCUAUUUUUAUCUCUAAUUAUUCCCAACUCUCCAAUCAUUCUAUUAUAACCAAUAUGUAGGAUUGACAGCCAGUUUGAAUUUCAGAUAUGUUAGCAAUUCCCUUGCUUUUUUCAGGUCCAAAGGAAGCCUCAGUAAAUCUUUUCAUUGAAGGAUUAGGGCCCUCCUUAAACUAGAAAUUGCAUCUAAAGGGUUAUUAUCAGAAAACAGUUUCAUUUGAGGAUUAGUUGAGUCUUCACAACAAGAAAAGGAAGCUUGGGGAAAGAGGUGGGGGAGAAGGCCCAGCCUCAGCUUUUGGCUCCUUGGGAAAAUUAGUAUUUUAUUAAAAAGUUGCCACCCUUUGACUACUUUUUCAACAUACAGGCUCAUGAUUUUGCAUUGAUGGUGCUUUUUCUAACGUUUUUCAUCAUAUUCUUCAAAACUAUCACGUAAAUUCACUAUCUCUUAUAAAUCAUCAAAGAGAAACUACACUUGGAGAAUGAGCUUGCAGAAGAGCCUGCCCUUUGUUCUUCCCUCACCUUGGUACUCCACAACGGGGAUUGGCAAUCUUUUUCUGUAGAGUCUGAUAGUAAAUAUUAUAGGCUUUCUGGGCCAUCCAGUCUCUGCUGUAACUAAUCAAUUCGGCCUCGGCGGAACAAAAGCAGUUAUCACAAUACAUAACUGAGUGAAUAUGGUUGUGUUCCAAUAAAACUCUGUUUAUGGACACUGAAAUCAGAGUCCAUACACUUUUCAGGUGCCACAGAAUAUUUUUCUUUGGACUUUUUCAAUUUUUUAAAAAGAUAUAAUAACCACACUUAGCUCAUAGCCUGUUCAAAACAGGGAGCAAGCCGAAUUUGGCCCAGGGACUGCAGCUUGCUGAUGAAGCUUACCAAAAGUGUAAGGAACAAACUGGGAUGAAGUGAAAAGAAGAGUAACUAUGCUAAGCAACAAAACUAAAACCAACAGUUU